CCGCAGCCCUGGUGCCAGGGCUACUGCUCAUGCUGCUUAGAUGAAGGGCAGUCUGGAGGACAAAGCACUUAGCCUGGCAGUUAAAGGGAUGGAGAUCUAAACCAAGACUCAGUGCCCACCCGAGUGUUUAAACCCUUCCACCUAUUUUGGAUGGCAAGAGAUCUCGUAGCAUUCUCAGCACUUGGUAAAUCAGACGUCAGAGUUCAGAGCCCUUUCCAAGCAAAGUACCCAUUAGGGUUAAUGCAAAAACCUAAAGGCCAUCCAAAAAAAAAGCAGAAAAUCCCAAGACGUCUCAGUUUGCCUCAUUACAAAAUACUUUCUGAGGGAUCUUUUCAUCAACCAUUUCCUUACUAGAAAUUGUUUGACCUAAAACAAUUUUAAAACUUUUUAAGUCUUACAACAGCGUAAACCCUUUCUGAAACAAGUGAUUUUCAAUUGUGGGAUUUUUUAUCACUUUUAAAACCGUAUGCAGGCCCAACUUUAGUUAUCAUGGAUGCCACUCACAGAGGUCUGAGAGUCCCUCCAGGGGAGAAGUUCACCGAUCAUGGUGGUGAUAUGUGCGAUGCACAGCACUGCUGCUGCCUUUGAGUACGACUUCAACCUCGCCCCGACGAUCCCUCCAUUGCGGUGGCAUUCCCUCCUUAUCCAGCUGCCAAAAGGAGAUCUGAAAUGAACAUAAUAAACAUUCAUCAGC
Cygnus olor (mute swan) is the source of this 694-nucleotide long non-coding RNA. RefSeq lists it as uncharacterized. The record is from RefSeq and is a predicted model, not a curated record. The transcript is spliced from 2 exons. NCBI's taxonomy places the organism in Eukaryota, Metazoa, Chordata, Aves, Anseriformes, Anatidae.